This 50-nucleotide transfer RNA is filed under the name Leptoglossis darcyana. RNAcentral's name for it is "partial tRNA-Leu". The record is from RNAcentral. Lineage: Eukaryota; Viridiplantae; Streptophyta; Magnoliopsida; Solanales; Solanaceae. RNAcentral also lists the same sequence under 3 other names.
AAAAUCCGUCAACUUUAAAAAUCGUGAGGGUUCAAGUCCCUCUAUCCCCA